GAUCGGCCAGGCCUUCUGGGUACCGAGCGGCGAACGGGUGAGUACACGUGAGUAACCUGCCCCGGGCUCUGGGAUAACUGUCGGAAACGAUGGCUAAUACCGGAUAUCACAUUUGGUCGCAUGGCUGGGUGUGGAAAGUUUUUCGGCUUGGGAUGGACUCGCGGCCUAUCAGCUUGUUGGUGGGGUGAUGGCCUACCAAGGCUUCGACGGGUAGCCGGCCUGAUAUGGCGAUCGGCCUCUCUGGGACUGAGACACGGUCCAUACUCCUACGGGAGGCAUCAGUGGGGAAUAUUGCUCAAUGGGCGAAAGCCUGAUGCAGCGACGCCGCGUGAGGGAUGACGGCCUUCGGGUUGUAAACCUCUUUCAGCAGGGACGAAUCGCAUGUGACGGUAUCUGCAUAAGAAGCGCCGGCCAACUACGUGCCAGCAGCCGCUGUAAG
This 439-nucleotide ribosomal RNA is filed under the name uncultured bacterium. RNAcentral describes it as "bacterial SSU rRNA". It matches the Rfam family "Bacterial small subunit ribosomal RNA", at positions 70 to 524 of the family's 1533-position model. The record is from RNAcentral.